RNAcentral lists this ribosomal RNA (253 nucleotides) under uncultured bacterium. RNAcentral describes it as "partial 16S ribosomal RNA". It matches the Rfam family "Bacterial small subunit ribosomal RNA", at positions 524 to 776 of the family's 1533-position model. The record is from RNAcentral.
UACAGAGGUGCCAAGCGUUAGGCGGAAUCACUGGGCUUAAAGCGUGUGUAGGCGGGUGCCUAAGUACCUUGUGAAAUCCCCCGGCUCAACCGGGGAACUGCUGGGUAUACUGGGUGCCUUGGGUCAUCUAGGGGCUGCCGGAACAAAUGGUGGAGCGGUGAAAUGCGUAGAUAUCAUUUGGAACGCCAACGGCGAAAGCAGGCAGCUGGGGAUGCACCGACGCUGAGACACGAAAGCCAGGGGAGCGAACGGG